AGGCGAACCGGGGGAACUGAAACAUCUAAGUACCCCGAGGAAAAGAAAUCAACCGAGAUUCCCCCAGUAGCGGCGAGCGAACGGGGAGGAGCCCAGAGCCUGAAUCAGCAUGUGUGUUAGUGGAAGCGUCUGGAAAGGCGCGCGAUACAGGGUGACAGCCCCGUACACAAAAGCGCAUGUGCUGUGAGCUCGAUGAGUAGGGCGGGACACGUGGUAUCCUGUCUGAAUAUGGGGGGACCAUCCUCCAAGGCUAAAUACUCCUGACUGACCGAUAGUGAACCAGUACCGUGAGGGAAAGGCGAAAAGAACCCCGGCGAGGGGAGUGAAAAAGAACCUGAAACCGUGUACGUACAAGCAGUGGGAGCACCCUUUGGGGUGUGACUGCGUACCUUUUGUAUAAUGGGUCAGCGACUUAUAUUCUGUAGCAAGGUUAACCGUAUAGGGGAGCCGGAGGGAAACCGAGUCUUAAUUGGGCGUUAAGUUGCAGGGUAUAGACCCGAAACCCGGUGAUCUAGCCAUGGGCAGGUUGAAGGUUGGGUAACACUAACUGGAGGACCGAACCGACUAAUGUUGAAAAAUUAGCGGAUGACCUGUGGCUGGGGGUGAAAGGCCAAUCAAACCGGGAGAUAGCUGGUUCUCCCCGAAAGCUAUUUAGGUAGCGCCUCGUGAAUUCAUCUCCGGGGGUAGAGCACUGUUUCGGCUAGGGGGCCAUCCCGGCUUACCAACCCGAUGCAAACUGCGAAUACCGGAGAAUGUUAUCACGGGAGACACACGGCGGGUGCUAACGUCCGUCGUGAAGAGGGAAACAACCCAGACCGCCAGCUAAGGUCCCAAAGUCAUGGUUAAGUGGGAAACGAUGUGGGAAGGCCCAGACAGCCAGGAUGUUGGCUUAGAAGCAGCCAUCAUUUAAAGAAAGCGUAAUAGCUCACUGGUCGAGUCGGCCUGCGCGGAAGAUGUAACGGGGCUAAACCAU
This 973-nucleotide ribosomal RNA is filed under the name Salmonella enterica subsp. enterica serovar Enteritidis. Its description in RNAcentral is "partial 23S ribosomal RNA". It matches the Rfam family "Bacterial large subunit ribosomal RNA", at positions 177 to 1190 of the family's 2925-position model. Lineage: Bacteria; Pseudomonadati; Pseudomonadota; Gammaproteobacteria; Enterobacterales; Enterobacteriaceae. The record is from RNAcentral.